AUACGUAGGGAGCGAGCGUUGUCCGGAAUUACUGGGCGUAAAGGGCGCGUAGGCGGCGCUUCAAGUCGUCUGUCAAAUGGGAGGGCUUAACCCUUUUUCGCAGACGAAACUGGAGAGCUUGAGAAGCAGAGAGGCAAACAGAAUUCCUGGUGUAGCGGUGAAAUGCGUAGAUAUCAGGAAGAAUACCAGUGGCGAAGGCGGUUUGCUGGCUGCAUACUGACGCUGAAGCGCGAAAGCCAGGGGAGCAAACGGGAUUAGAUACCCCGGUAGUCCUGGCAGUAAACGAUGAAUGCUGGGUGUGAGACUAGCGAUAGUUUCGUGCCGAAGUUAACGCGAUAAGCAUACCGCCUGGGGAGUACGGUCGCAAGAUUGAAACUUAAAUGAAUUGGCGGGG
Molecule: ribosomal RNA, 394 nt
Filed under: uncultured bacterium
Lineage: Bacteria
Description: partial 16S ribosomal RNA
Rfam family: Bacterial small subunit ribosomal RNA
Source: RNAcentral